ACAGAGAAAUCUUACCUGAGUUCCAGAACAAGAUCAACAAAGCGGACUGAGUUCCAGAACAAGAACAAAAAGAACUUUUCUGACUGAGUUCCAGACUGAAUCUUUUCAUACAAGCAACGAUUCGAUACCACUUGAUGGCUAUCCCGAGACCCAUACGCACAGACGUCUUCACCUGCGUAUGAAGCCACCACUUCCAGAAAACAACGAGACCCACUGCCGAGCCAACUAUCACCAAAGUAAAGAAGAAAAA
This is a non-coding RNA of Pimephales promelas (fathead minnow), 250 nucleotides long. The record is from RefSeq and is a predicted model, not a curated record. NCBI's taxonomy places the organism in Eukaryota, Metazoa, Chordata, Actinopteri, Cypriniformes, Leuciscidae.